RNAcentral lists this ribosomal RNA (480 nucleotides) under Uroteuthis chinensis. RNAcentral describes it as "partial 16S ribosomal RNA". It matches the Rfam family "Bacterial large subunit ribosomal RNA", at positions 1863 to 2588 of the family's 2925-position model. Lineage: Eukaryota; Metazoa; Mollusca; Cephalopoda; Myopsida; Loliginidae. The record is from RNAcentral.
UCGGUGAAACGUUUUAACAGCUGCGGUAUUUUAACUGUACUAAGGUAGCAUAAUAAUUUGCCUUAUAAUUUGAGGCUAGAAUGAAUGGUUUGACGAAGGUUAAUCUGUCUCUGCUUUAUUUUUUAGAAAUUAAUUUUCAUAGUGAAAAAGCUUGAAUUUCUUAAGGGGACGAGAAGACCCUACUGAGCUUAUAAUUUUAUUAUCACAUAUAUUUAUGUAUAAUGUGCUAUAUAAAUUUUAAUUGGGGUGAUUAAGGAAUAAUAUAGCUAUUUUAUAACUUCCUUAGAUAUUAUAUUGUUGAAUUAAGUAACCGAUUAAUUAAUAGAAUUGUAUUAUGUAUUGCUUAUAAUAUAGUUACCAUAGGGAUAACAGCGUAAUUUACUUAGAGAGUUCUUAUUGAAAAGUAAGAUUGCGACCUCGAUGUUGGAUUAAAGUGACCUUAAGGUGCAGAAGCUUUAUGAGGUAAAUCUGUUCGAUUUU